AUUGAACGCUGGCGGCAGGCCUAACACAUGCAAGUCGAGCGGAUGAAGGGAGCUUGCUCCUGGAUUCAGCGGCGGACGGGUGAGUAAUGCCUAGGAAUCUGCCUGGUAGUGGGGGAUAACGUCCGGAAACGGGCGCUAAUACCGCAUACGUCCUGAGGGAGAAAGUGGGGGAUCUUCGGACCUCACGCUAUCGGAUGAGCCUAGGUCGGAUUAGCUAGUUGGUGGGGUAAAGGCCUACCAAGGCGACGAUCCGUAACUGGUCUGAGAGGAUGAUCAGUCACACUGGAACUGAGACACGGUCCAGACUCCUACGGGAGGCAGCAGUGGGGAAUAUUGGACAGUGGGCGAAAGCCUGAUCCAGCCAUGCCGCGUGUGUGAAGAAGGUCUUCGGAUUGUAAAGCACUUUAAGUUGGGAGGAAGGGCAGUAAGUUAAUACCUUGCUGUUUUGACGUUACCAACAGAAUAAGCACCGGCUAACUUCGUG
This 484-nucleotide ribosomal RNA is filed under the name uncultured bacterium. Its description in RNAcentral is "partial 16S ribosomal RNA". It matches the Rfam family "Bacterial small subunit ribosomal RNA", at positions 30 to 507 of the family's 1533-position model. The record is from RNAcentral.